RNAcentral lists this ribosomal RNA (397 nucleotides) under uncultured bacterium. RNAcentral's name for it is "partial 16S ribosomal RNA". It matches the Rfam family "Bacterial small subunit ribosomal RNA", at positions 523 to 918 of the family's 1533-position model. The record is from RNAcentral.
AUACGUAGGUGACAAGCGUUAUCCGGAUUUACUGGGCGUAAAGGGCGUGUAGGCGGUCUUGCAAGUCAGAAGUGAAAUUCCUGAGCUCAACUCGGGCGCUGCUUCUGAAACUGCAGGACUUGAGUGCUGGAGGGGAUAGCGGAAUUCCUAGGGGAGCGGUAAAAUGCGCAGUUAUUAGGAAGAACACCGGUGGGGAAGGCGGCUAUCUGGACAGUAACUGACGCUGAGGCGCGAAAGCGUGGGGAGCAAACAGGAUUAGAUCCCCUGGUAGUCCACGCCGUAAACGAUGAAUACUAGGUGUAGGGGGUAUCGACUCCCUCUGUGCCGCAGUUAACACAAUAAGUAUUCCGCCUGGGGAGUACGGCCGCAAGGUUGAAACUCAAAUGAAUUGACGGGG